CGCGUCUUGUGCGAUGGCGGAGCUCGACCGCCGGUCGCGGCCAUGAUCGCCUUCAUCGACGAGUACCGCGCGGUCUACGGGGUUGUCCUUCGACAGGCUCAGGAUGAGGCCGAUCUGCAGAGUUCUGCCGAUCGCCCCG
Regulatory RNA element from Methylobacterium nodulans ORS 2060, 139 nucleotides. It matches the Rfam family "ALIL pseudoknot". The record is from Rfam. Lineage: Bacteria; Pseudomonadati; Pseudomonadota; Alphaproteobacteria; Hyphomicrobiales; Methylobacteriaceae.